GCCUCCGCCUCCGCCAUGGCAGAACACGGCUCUCGCCGGUUGCCAUCGUUUCUUGGCCGUUCUCGGCCCUAGAACAGGUCGGCAGAGGUCACUCCUCCACUGCAUGUGCCGUCUUCGACCGUUUGAGAAGCCGAGCGUCGCCGCGCCGCUUCCCCUGUCCUCCGCCGUGGCCGGAAAGAUAAGUCCUUCCUUCCCUCUCUUCUUUUUUUUUUUUACUACUAAAAGCCCUAAACUUUCUCUCCCUCUCUCUUCUCUUUCCCAUCCCCCUCUUUUUUUCUAAAAGCCCUAAUUUCUCCCCUGUUCCCUCUCGUUUGGCAGAAAAAGGAAAAACCGGCGGCUCACUGCCGCGCCGUCCCCGUUGCCGGCCGAGAAGGCAGAGAAACAAGAAUUGACCUCCCAAAUUCCCAAUUUCAGUUAUACACACAAGCAAGAUUAGGGUUUUCAAUUCUGUUCAUUUUCUUAUCAAAAUCAGAUCUGUAAUUUAAACAUUCAUGUUUUGCAAUCAUAUGGUGAGAUAUGUAUAUAUGUGUAUGUAA
Molecule: long non-coding RNA, 536 nt
Filed under: Salvia miltiorrhiza (redroot sage)
Lineage: Eukaryota; Viridiplantae; Streptophyta; Magnoliopsida; Lamiales; Lamiaceae
Description: long non-coding RNA (SMIL_LNC011578)
Source: RNAcentral